AGAGUUUGAUCCUGGCUCAGGAUGAACGCUAGCGGCAGGCUUAAUACAUGCAAGUCGAGGGGCAGCGCUGGGUAGCAAUACCUGCUGGCGACCGGCAAACGGGUGCGGAACACGUACGCAACCUUCCCAAAACUGGGGAAUAGCCCUCCGAAAGGAGGAUUAAUACCCCGUAACAUAACGAAGUGGCAUCACUUUGUUAUUAUAGUUCCGACGGUUUUGGAUGGGCGUGCGCCUGAUUAGGUAGUUGGCGGGGUAACGGCCCACCAAGCCUGCGAUCAGUAACUGGUGUGAGAGCACGACCAGUCACACGGGCACUGAGACACGGGCCCGACUCCUACGGGAGGCAGCAGUAAGGAAUAUUGGUCAAUGGACGCAAGUCUGAACCAGCCAUGCCGCGUGAAGGAUGAAGGUCCUCUGGAUUGUAAACUUCUUUUAUAUGGGACGAAAAAAGGGCAUUCUUGCUCACUUGACGGUACCAUAGGAAUAAGCACCGGCUAACUCCGUGCCAGCAGCCGCGGUAAUACGGAGGGUGCGAGCGUUAUCCGGAUUUACUGGGUUUAAAGGGUGCGUAGGUGGGCAGGUAAGUCAGUGGUGAAAUCUCCGGGCUUAACCCGGAAACUGCCAUUGAUACUAUCUGUCUUGAAUAUCCUGGAGGUGAGCGGAAUAUGUCAUGUAGCGGUGAAAUGCUUAGAUAUGACAUAGAACACCGAUUGCSAAGGCAGCUCACUACGGGGUUAUUGACACUGAGGCACGAAAGCGUGGGGAUCAAACAGGAUUAGAUACCCUGGUAGUCCACGCCCUAAACGAUGGAUACUCGACAUUUGCGAUAUACCGUAAGUGUCUGAGCGAAAGCAUUAAGUAUCCCACCUGGGAAGUACGAUCGCAAGAUUGAAACUCAAAGGAAUUGACGG
RNAcentral lists this ribosomal RNA (911 nucleotides) under uncultured bacterium. RNAcentral's name for it is "bacterial SSU rRNA". It matches the Rfam family "Bacterial small subunit ribosomal RNA", at positions 8 to 916 of the family's 1533-position model. The record is from RNAcentral.